RNAcentral lists this long non-coding RNA (2145 nucleotides) under Xyrichtys novacula (pearly razorfish). The record is from RNAcentral. Lineage: Eukaryota; Metazoa; Chordata; Actinopteri; Labriformes; Labridae.
CGAGAGUGCCGCAAAGCUGAGCGAAGGUGGAAGAAGGACAAGCUGCAGGUUUCCUUCCAAAUACUGAAGGACUCUUUUAACAGCUACCAGAGAACUGUUAAAGAGAGCAAAAGACAAUAUCUGGCAAACUUGGUGGAGUUAAAUCAUCAAAACCCACGUGUGUUGUUUAAAUGUAUCGAUGCUGUUCUUAACGCCCCACAGCCUGCCUGCUUAGAGGCAUCUGUGGAAAUGUGCAAUAAUUUUAUGUACUUUUUUAUUGAAAAGGUUGUGACUGUCAGGUCUCUCAUCUCUGCUCCUGCAUCCGACCCCUCUGUGCCUGUUCCUUGUUCGGCAGUUCUUGACAGGUUUGAGCCUGUGUCUUUGUCAUAUUUAGAAGAGCUGGUUGGCCAUAUUAAGCCUGCUGGUUCUCCCUGUGAUGUUGUCCCUCCCAGGCUGUUUAAAGAGGUUUUCCCCUGCAUAGGUCAGUCUGUUCUGGCUAUCAUAAACAGCAGUCUGUCCUCUGGUGUUGUUCCGCCAGGUUUUAAACAUGCAGUGGUGCAGCCUCUACUCAAAAAACCAGGCCUUGAUUGCAGUGUGCUGGCCAAUUUUAGGCCCAUCUCCAAACUUCCUUUUAUUUCAAAGAUUUUAGAGAAAGUUGUUCAUGUUCAGCUAAAGUCCUUUCUGGAUGAGCAUGGUGUCUUGGAGGUCUUCCAGUCUGGUUUUAAAACUCGCCACAGCACGGAGUCUGCUUUAAUAAGAGUUUUUAAUGACAUCCUCCAGGCAAAUGACUCUGGUGAUUAUGUUGUUCUUGUUCUGUUAGACCUAACAGCAGCCUUCGACACAGUGGACCACAACACUCUGGUGGCUCGGCUAAGCUACCUUAUAGGUGUCCGUGGUACUGCACUAGAGUGGUUCAAGUCAUAUUUAACAGACAGAACAAUGAGUGUGAGUCUUGGAGAUACAAAGUCCAGCUCUGCUCCACUGCCGUAUGGGGUUCCACAAGGGUCGAUUUUAGGGCCCCUGCUCUUUUCUUUAUAUUUGCUGCCCCUGGGAUCCAUCUUGAGAAAGCAUGGCAUUUCAUUUCAUUGUUACGCUGAUGACAGUCAGAUAUAUGUGCCACUUAACAAGAGAAAUGCUUUCUCCCUCACUCCACUUCUGGCGUGUCUUGAAGACAUCAAAGCCUGGAUGGCUUUGAAUUUCUUAAAUUUCAAUGAAAAAAAAACAGAAGUGAUGGUCUUUGGUCCCAGUGGCCCUUGUGAAACCCCUCCUGUAGACUUGGGUAUUUUAGCAGAUUAUUUAAAGCCAACCGUCUCAAAUUUGGGUUUUAAGAUGGACAGUGAUUUUAAAUUUGAUAGGCAAAUUAGCUCCGUAGUGAAAUCCAGUUUUUAUCAUAUUAGGCAGCUGGCGAAGGCAAAGCCUUUUCUUUCACGUAAGCACUUUGAAACAGUAAUCCAUGCCUUUGUUACAUCUCGGCUGGAUUACUGUAACGCACUUUAUUUUGGAGUCAGCCAGUCCUCCCUCUCACGUCUCCAGUUAGUUCAAAACGCAGCUGCCCGGCUCUUAACUGGAGUACGUAAGAGGGAGCACAUUACUCCCAUCCUGGCCUCCCUCCACUGGUUACCCGUGCAUUUUAGAGUUCAUUUUAAGAUUCUUUUAUUUGUUUUUAAAUCUUUAAAUGGUCUGGCUCCAUCUUACCUCUCUGAGCUUCUCCACCCCUACACCCCUGCUCGGUGCCUCAGGUCAGCGGAUCAGCUGCUCCUGCAGGUACCGAGGUCCAAACGGAAGCUCAGAGGGGAUAGAUCUUUUUCUGUUGCAGCCCCAAUUUUAUGGAACGAGCUACCCCUCCAAAUUAGAGAAGCCCCCACACUGUCCAUUUUUAAAAGUCGUCUUAAAACCCAUUUUUAUUCAUUGGCUUUUAACCCUCCAUGAGACUCGGCUCCUGUUUUAGUGUUCUAUGGUUUGUUUUUAGUUAUUUGUUUCUAUGUUUUUAAAUUAGUUUUUAAAAGCAUUGAAACAAUACAUUUAAUUCUGCUUUUAUUUUAUCCAUUGUUUUAAUUGUUUUUUGAUUGGUUUUUAUCUUGUUGUUUUGUCUAGUUAUGUACAGCACUUUGUACAGCUGUGGUUGUUUUAAAGUGCUUAACAAAUAAAGUUGAGUUGAGUUGAGUA